CUGCUCUUGUCAGAUCAUGCCACUGUGCUGAAACAAUGGGCUGGACAAGAUGCCUCAGAAGAGCUACAUGCUGCAGAUUUUGUUUCCGUGCUCAAACACAGCCUGCACAAACUGCUUGAAGACUCUGUCCAUUGAAUUCAGAUGGCCAAAAGUAUUCAGAGGUGAAUGGCUAGUACAUUGAUCCACUGGGUAACCUACAGAAGAACCCUUGGAAUGGAAAAAAUAAAACUACAAAAAAUUGUGAUUAGGUUCUACAAAAAAAUUACAUUAUAUUUUAACAGAAAUAAACAAACAGCUCUUCUGCCAGACAAAGCAUAUCUCCUCACCUAUCCCUGUCUCGGAUGUAAAUUAAGCAUUGUAAAACAAUGGAAGCCCUAUUUGCAUGUAGCGCUAACAGGAAAAACCGGUUGAUUGGGGGAUGUGAAACCAACUGGGUGCGGAGCACGUUGGAGAACAAGCAACAGGGAGAAGAGUCUUAUCUGGGGAUGCACUUCAAAAGGGGCAUGUCAAAGAUUUACUGGACUAUAUGAGGAAGGAAAAAGGCCCCCUUUCCGAUCCUUCACUGAGGGAGCAAAAAAGACAUCGCUUUUCACAUUCAUGAAAACUGAAUCCUGGCCAUGUGGACUAGUGAUGCUGGGAGGUUGCUUUAGCUGCAUCAGCCAUGCCUGUACUAGGUACUUUAAACUGAAACUGCCAUCACUGAGGCAUGCCUGGAAAUAAGAGAUACAGCUUCGUCAUGUUGGAUCAAGAUCCUUGUGCACAUUAUUCUGAUUAUGGAUCAAGUCCAUGAUGUCUCCCAUUAUGUUUAUAAGUGCAAAAGAUAUCAAAAGCUGCAUUUACAGAUGAUGUAAGAGCAAAUGGCUGUGCAAUUAAAGGAAACAGAUGCAGUGUCUGCACUUCUUAUGGUCAAUCAGCUUUGAACAAUUGAAAAUGGGGAUAAAACCUUCUAAACUGUAAUUAGAAUGUUAAGUGACACAGACUCACAUCUGGUGGAUUUGCACCUCAUCUAGCAGACAGGUGUAGCCAGAUUCAUACAGGGAGUUGUCUGGAUACGAGAAUAAUCCUGAAGUAGCUCUUCUAAGGCCUGGUCUACACUAGGACUUUAAUUCGAAUUUAGCAGCGUUAAUUCGAACUAACCGCUCAACCGUCCACACCAG
Long non-coding RNA from Mauremys reevesii (Reeves's turtle), 1157 nucleotides. RefSeq lists it as uncharacterized. The transcript is spliced from 4 exons. The record is from RefSeq and is a predicted model, not a curated record. NCBI's taxonomy places the organism in Eukaryota, Metazoa, Chordata, Testudines, Geoemydidae.